UACGUAGGGUGCGAGCGUUAAUCGGAAUUACUGGGCGUAAAGCGUGCGCAGGCGGCUUUGUAAGACGGAUGUGAAAUCCCCGGGCUCAACCUGGGAACUGCAUUCGUGACUGCAAGGCUAGAGUGUGUCAGAGGGAGGUGGAAUUCCGCGUGUAGCAGUGAAAUGCGUAGAUAUGCGGAGGAACACCGAUGGCGAAGGCAAUCCCCUGGGCCUGCACUGACGCUCAUGCACGAAAGCGUGGGGAGCAAACAGGAUUAGAUACCCUGGUAGU
Molecule: ribosomal RNA, 271 nt
Filed under: uncultured bacterium
Lineage: Bacteria
Description: partial 16S ribosomal RNA
Rfam family: Bacterial small subunit ribosomal RNA
Source: RNAcentral